Long non-coding RNA from Canis lupus familiaris (dog), 1708 nucleotides. RefSeq lists it as uncharacterized. NCBI's taxonomy places the organism in Eukaryota, Metazoa, Chordata, Mammalia, Carnivora, Canidae. The record is from RefSeq and is a predicted model, not a curated record. The transcript is spliced from 8 exons.
AACGCGGGACUCGAUCCCGGUUCUUCAGGACCAUGUCCUGGGCUGAAGGCAGACGCCAAAACGCUGAACCACUCAGGGAUCCCCGAAUAUCCUUUUUCUUAUCAAAUAUUUAUUUAUCCAUUUAGUUUUUACAUAAGUAUGGAUCAUGGUUUCUUCCUUUAUGCUAUAGUAUGAUCCAUUAUUAUUUUAUUUAUUUUGAUAUUCAAAUUCUCCUAGAUUUGAUCAACGUGAUCCCUUAACUGGUAAUAAUUAUCUGAUAAAAAUAAUUUUAUUUCUAGAAAAUAAAAAUAUUUUCUACUUUCUGAUACAAUAAGAUAUUUAGGCUCACCUUGUACUUCCCUUCCCUUGCCUUAGGAUCAAUCAUUUCUCCAAGGAGUCCUAAGUCACUUUUAGUGGAGAACAGUGUUUAAAACACAAUGUCUGGUCAAUAAAGGUGUUUGUGUUUUUUUUUUUUUAAGGUGUUUGUGUUUUAUGCUAACCCAUAUGCGCAGUAUCUUUCCUGGCUUUGGCAGUUCUAGUGCCCUUCUGCUGGACCCUAAUGCAUCUAUCCAAGGCUAAAACAAUAGCCAAACUGUGGAAGGAGCCAUGAUGUCCUUCGACAGAUGAAUGGAUAAAGGAGAUGUGGUCUAUAUAUAAAAUGGAAUAUUACUCAGCCAUCAGAAAAGACCAACACUCACCAUUUGCUUUGACGUGGAUGGGCCUACUCCUUUAAUAAGAAGCCACAGAUUUCUAUUGAGUAUCUAUCUGCUUUCUGGCAAUUCCCACUUGGCAUACUGGGUUAUAAUGUCAACAAAAUCUUGGAUCUGUGCCCAAGGAGCUCACAAGUCUUGUGAGGGAGUAUAGUCAGAGGGUGACCAUAACUCAAUGUUUUAUCUGAAAUAGAGUUGAAGACAUCUACAUGGUCAUAAGCAGCCUGUUCUGAAAGAGAAAUGAGUCCAUUAGCUCUUGAUACUUCCUGGGUUGAGAUGGGGUAGAAAGAUACCUAAUGCUUAGAUUGUUGUAGUAAUGACGGCCCAGUUGGGAGUGAACAUCAUUAGCCUAAACUGGCCCAGCACUAUGGACAAUGACCUAACAAGAAAUGAUGUUUCCUCAAGCAAAAAUGGCAGAAAAAAACAAACUGAUAUUCUGCUCUUUCAAAAUGUUCCAAAAUGAUCCAGCAUCCUAUCCAUCUCACUCUGCAAUUGCAACUUCUUAUCAAAUUAUCCCUUAAGUAGGGUGAAGAGUGAAAUUGAAAUAGUGAAUAAACACAAAUUAUAUUGGACAAGAUUCCAAUCUGAAGAUCAAUAAGUCUUAGUUCCACACUACUGGAAGCUAAGAAGAGAGUUUUGAGAGUCUAAAUAUCAUUUUGAGAAGAAUGACAACAUAUAAGCCAAUUGAAAGAGACUUUUUUGAAGAAAUAUAAAUGGCAAUUAUGGCAAAGACUGAUCAGAAAGGCAUCAAAUUGGAAGAGAAAAAUUCACUGGGAGGUGGCUGUAAUGAAGGUAUGAUGUGAAGGCAAAAAGAAAAAAGUUAUUGAUUAAAGGAGAAUGAAUUUACUUUACCUGCAUGGUUUCAAAAAGUAUUCUUAAUCAGAAAUGACUCGGAAGGGCAGCCCGGGUGGCUCAGCGGUUUAGCACCACCUUCAGCCCAGAGCCUGAUCCUGGAGACCUGGGAUCGAAUUUCGCAUCGGGCUCCCUGCGUGGGGCCUGCUUCUCCCUCUGCCUGUAUC